This is a long non-coding RNA of Felis catus (domestic cat), 2051 nucleotides long. RefSeq lists it as uncharacterized. The transcript has 2 exons. The record is from RefSeq and is a predicted model, not a curated record. NCBI's taxonomy places the organism in Eukaryota, Metazoa, Chordata, Mammalia, Carnivora, Felidae.
GUCUUCAUGGGAAGUAUUUUAGUUCGAGCCUCAAAGAUCUGCUUUUCGGCUUCUGAUAAAGAACCAAAAAGAGCUGCUGAUGAGACGCUGUGUGACAGUUUGGGAGCAGAGAGCUUUCUGUGUUCGUUUACCCAGUCCUCCGUAGUGGCACCUUGGCAGACCUUCGGGGACUCGAUGGCCAGCCGGAAUGCGUACCGUGUGCCCCAUUGUCACUGACUGACAACUUCCUUUAGCAAGUGAUGGCUUUCUGGCUUCCCCUAAGAAAAGCCGUAGCCCUUUGGAUACUGAUUAUGAGGGACACUUUCUGUUUCUCUUGAAGAAAAUUUGGCCCAGGCAGGGGGUGGGUCUCUGGGAGAACUUGCUUUUCUUUUGUCCAUGCCUACUUCUGUACCCCCACAACACUCCACUUUCAUACAGCCUUGCACCCUGGGGGCACCCACCGUUGUCUCUGUGAUCUUCACCUCUUCCUUGGCCAUUUUCCUGACUGGUCACCCCCCACCUUUAUUCUUUGAAGCCAUCCACGUGUCUUCCUUCGCCGUUGUCUUCUUCAUUUCAGUCCCAUUUUCACCCUGGAUGACCUUACCAUGACUCAGUUAUGCAUUCAACAAGUAUUUUUCAGUGGCUCCUAUGUGCCCAAGCUUCGUGCCGGGCACUAAGGGUGCAACAAUGAACAAAACCAACUGUGGGACUUGCCCUCGUGGAACUUACACUCUAACUGGGGAGACAGACCCAAAUCAUACAGUCACCCAAAUGAAAUGGCAAGAUGGCAGCUGCAGUGGGUGCUAAAAAGAAACAUGGGAGUUGGUAAUAACUGGAGUGUUUGACCUUGUCAGGGAGGUCAGGGAAGCGUUCCCUGUAGGAGUGAUGCGUGACAGAGAUACGGAGGGUAAGUGGGAAUUGCCGUGGCAAAAGGGGGAGGGAACCAUGUUGCAGGCAGAAGAGAUAGCAUGUGCAAAGGCCACGUGGUUGGUUAGGGGGGAAAUGAGGGGUGCAAGGAACCAGUAAAGGACCCAAAUACAUGGUUUGGGGGCGGAGUGUGGUUCAGAGAAGAGACUAGAGAGUGGGUAGAGAUGAGAUUGAAAUAGGCCAGUUACACCACAUUAAUGUCUCGUCAUUAUGAUGAGAGCCUUUGAAGCAGGAGAGUGCCAUGACAUGAUUGUGAUACGAUGAGGCUCUCUGACCCCAGGUUGAGUGAGGGUGCCUGUGGAUUUGGGGGAAGCUAUCUAGGUGGCUGGACCGUAGUCCCGGGGAGAGACAGGGAUGGUGUUAGCUAAGAUGGAGAGGAUAUCAACUAUCUGAGAGAUACGUGAAACUAAAUCAAUGAGAUGUAAUGAUGGAUUGGAUAUACCCUGGAUGCCUCUUAGGUUCCAGGCUGGUGGCUGGGCAGAUGGCACCAUUUACUGAAAGAAAAGAUUUCCAAAGAAAACUUGGGCUGGGAGAGGGAGAUCACGAGUUUGGAUUCGGACAGAUUGAGUUGCAGAGGCCUUUGAGAACAGCUGAGCGAAGGUGCAGGCGGAGGACUGUGGGCCCUGUGCGUGAAGUCAGAGGAGGGACCCGGGCUGGGAAUAUAUGCGUGAGAUCAUCUGCGUGCGGAUGGCCAUUGAAGACGUGGGAUGGAGGAGGGGUGGAGAAGGAAGCGGAGAGGCACAAACAUGGCGGGCAGAGACUGAGGAGGAGAGCUGGCAUUUGUGUUGCCGAGGGGACAAGUAAGAGGAAGACAGAAGCUCUUCUUCUGCUGGAUUGAGCCACGAGGAGCUCAGUGGGACCCCCGGGAAGUAUAUGCCGGUGGAGCAAAGCCUCCACAGGCUGCAUCGCAUGCUACUGAGGAGCCUAAGGCAAAGAAACGAGCACCUAAACGUAAAUUUGGAUACUUGAAUAUAAACGUUCUUGCUGAGAGUUUUGACUCUGGAGAAGAAAAGUGUGUAAAUAGCUGAAAGAGAAGAGGGCGAAUGAUACGCGCAACAUUUAAGAAAUGCCCUCUUAUAUUUUUUGCCUUUUAAAUGUUUAUGGAAAUACAUCAUUCUGUUUAAAAUAUUUUCUAAUUUACCUAA